Molecule: long non-coding RNA, 251 nt
Organism: Polypterus senegalus (gray bichir)
Lineage: Eukaryota; Metazoa; Chordata; Cladistia; Polypteriformes; Polypteridae
Exons: 3
Source: RefSeq, a predicted model, not a curated record
UUGAUAUUUGCUGGCAUAUUAAUAAAGCUGCUAAGGGUGAACUGGCAGGAUUGAAUUUCAGAAGCAGGUUUAAGGUUUUAUGAAUGUCAAAUCCUGGAAAGCUGUCCUCGAAGUCAUCAGUUAUCAUCCCGUGAAGGAACACAUGAACGGUACAGAUGGCGCACAUUUGGAGAACACUCUCUUUUUUUGUCUUUUUAUUAUCAGCAGUUCAUGCCCAAGGUGGGUGAUAAAUGUAAUUAUAUCAAAAUGUA